ACGCACGCUGGCGGCAUGCCUAACACAUGCAAGUCGCACGAGACCUUCGGGUCUAGUGGCGCACGGGUGCGUAACGCGUGGGAAUCUGCCCUUGGGUUCGGAAUAACAGUUGGAAACGACUGCUAAUACCGGAUGAUGACGUAAGUCCAAAGAUUUAUCGCCCAAGGAUGAGCCCGCGUAGGAUUAGCUAGUUGGUGAGGUAAAGGCUCACCAAGGCGACGAUCCUUAGCUGGUCUGAGAGGAUGAUCAGCCACACUGGGACUGAGACACGGCCCAGACUCCUACGGGAGGCAGCAGUGGGGAAUAUUGGACAAUGGGCGAAAGCCUGAUCCAGCAAUGCCGCGUGAGUGAUGAAGGCCUUAGGGUUGUAAAGCUCUUUUACCCGGGAUGAUAAUGACAGUACCGGGAGAAUAAGCUCCGGCUAACUCCGUG
Molecule: ribosomal RNA, 432 nt
Filed under: uncultured bacterium
Lineage: Bacteria
Description: partial 16S ribosomal RNA
Rfam family: Bacterial small subunit ribosomal RNA
Source: RNAcentral